Molecule: long non-coding RNA, 2483 nt
Organism: Panicum hallii
Lineage: Eukaryota; Viridiplantae; Streptophyta; Magnoliopsida; Poales; Poaceae
Exons: 4
Source: RefSeq, a predicted model, not a curated record
AGUUGUGAAAAUCAAAAGAGAAUCCACUUCGUCACGGACGCCCGCACCGGCUGCCUCCUCUCUCAUGCGCGCGGCGGCGGCCCGACCUGCCCACGCGCCGAAGCGGCCGGCCUGCCGGCUGGCGGACCAAUCGACGCGGCGCGAGGAGCAGGCCAGCCGCGGGCGCCUGGAUUCGCAGGAGCCCGCGCCCUUGGUCUCCGCGCUGCGCCGGCCCGGAUGCGUGCCGCGGCCGGCCCCCGCCGUCGCGCACCGUCGUGCCUCGGGUGGUCGUCCACCAUCGUCGAUGGUCCGACCGUCGGAAGACGCAUGCCGUGGCUCUGCCGUCCCAGCUCCGUGCCGGAACUGAGGCCGCACGCCCCGGCCGACUGCCGCCGGCGCUGAGGGUCCGUCGGGCGGAGGAGGUGGCCGGAGCUCCGGCGCCCCAGCCUCGUGCGGCCAUCACCCGGGGCCGCAAGGAGGACACGGUGGCCACCCCUCAGCCCCUCGCAGCGGCGGUCUCCGCCGCUUCCGUUCCCCCCAGCGAAUGGACGCUCCCUCCAACGCUUCCCCUUCCUACAACUCCACGCGCCAUUUCCCAUCCCAUCUUCCCUAUGCCACGCCGGCCUCCUUUACCAUUGCACGUCCAACCGGGCCAUCUCCUUCCCUCCAACAACGGUUGUGCUCAAAUAUGGACGGAGGAGAAGGCAGCCGCUGCCAUGCCUCGUCCAUGGGAGUGGCGGGGCUGGCGCUGCUCUUAUGCUACCUGCAGUUCCACUCAUGCAUAAAUGCUGCCUGCUAGGUGUUUGACAGAGCGCUCCCAUGGCUGCAGGAGGUGUCCGGCCACAGCGGCAAGGACUCCAGUGGCACCAGCUGGCCAUGGCCUGCUCCCUUCCGAAUCCUUUUCUCCCUCCCUCCUGAGAUGCUUGGUUUGUGAUGAUAAAGCAGAUUCGUGGCUCAAGACACUACCUGUAAAAUUAGGAUCACACAAGAUCUACAAGAAUGUGGUGAAAUUUGUGUUCAGAGAGGAAGAAGAUGGAAUCAUUAGCGGGCCCAGCCUGUGGCAGCGUGGCGAAGGCCGAAGGGGCUAUUAGUGGCUCAUAUGACUUAAGCACCAGUACUGCUUCUUCCACUUCCUUUACUGAACUUCUUUCAGUUUGUUGAUUUGCAGGUUUAUUGUGGGACACAGACACUGAUAAAAUCAUUAACUCUUUGGAAGGUAGAGAAUUGAUUCAUCUGUAGAUUAAAACUGAGGUAUGAUACUAUUACUAUCUAAAUUUCCAAAUAAUUUAGAUAUAGUUUAAGGUCUACUUUGAGAUCCUGGCAUGGUUACAUAUAGUUUAAUAGUUUUUGCUUCUACUGCUGAGUAUAAGUGUUAAUAACAUUUUUUAUUAACCAUAUAAGGACAGGAGAGGAGAGUGCCUGGAUUUUACUGAGUAGAGAGUAUCAGCUACAUCUCGCUUCUGGCAAGUCUGCUUUACUUUUCUUGACCUGCACUGCAUUUUUCCUCAUUAUAUCAAUGCGACUGAUGAAAAUUGCAGGUCACUUAACCUCAUACUCCUUGUUACAAUUAUGUAGAUAGCUCCAAAAUUCUUCAAACUCGCCAGAUGUGUUUUAUGGUGCAUAUAUGUUCCAUUUCAACCAUUUGGACAGUAUUUAAUUUAUUUAUUUCGAGAAAGGCUAAGCAUUAUCUUGACAUACAUACAGUGACCACUUAAUCUGUUUGUGAAGCUUAGAAGCAGCAGUAAAAUUCAGGUGAGUUCAGCACUGUAGCCACUUCAUCUUUCAGUGAGUUCAGAUUGACUAUGCUGGAUUUAAUUACCAUUACAAAAAUUGCAGCAAUCCGUUGUACACAUUCAUGUACUUAUGUCUUGAUUAAUUUGCGUGCACACAAAUUAAUCAGUCUGUCAUCACAUUGUUAUAGGUUCAGUGGUCUGCUUAUACACAGUGGUAUUGUUAGAUCCAAAUUGGUGGGCUAGCAGUGACUUGGUAAGAUUUAUGCACCCUGUUUUUCUAGAGUUUUGCAAUAUUUCAGUGUUUUUAUGUACCUGUUUGUAUGUUAUCUCAGCUUCACUAGAUGCACACCACCUUAGUAUUAUUUGCUAUAUAUGCUUUGUAUGGUGCCAUAGCAGAUUGACUUCCAGUGUGCCCAUAUAAGCAUAUUUCUCUAUGGUUAUUAGUAGUGCUUCAUCAGCUUCAUCUCAUCAAGGCAACAGUACCUGCUAGGCUGCUACAGAUUCUUGUGCUGAGUGUCCAAAAUCGUCUUCCUGAGGCUUUUCCAUCCAGACGGGGGUCAAGCUCAACCACCAUGUUAGCAAAUAUAUUUAGCGCCUGGUGAUGGCCUGGCACGUCCGGCCUCCCAGCCUGUCACACACGGCACAACCAGCUUACCCCUCCUAGGAUUCUGUUUCUAUAAGUCCGGAGGUGGAUUGCCUUGGUUGUUUGUCUAUAUAUGUAAUAUGUAACCCCUCAAUCAAUCUAUCGAUUACGUGUGAUAUUCCACGCUA